AUUGAACGCUGGCGGCAGGCCUAACACAUGCAAGUCGAGCGGAUGAAGGGAGCUUGCUCCUGGAUUCAGCGGCGGACGGGUGAGUAAUGCCUAGGAAUCUGCCUGGUAGUGGGGGAUAACGUCCGGAAACGGGCGCUAAUACCGCAUACGUCCUGAGGGAGAAAGUGGGGGAUCUUCGGACCUCACGCUAUCAGAUGAGCCUAGGUCGGAUUAGCUAGUUGGUGGGGUAAAGGCCUACCAAGGCGACGAUCCGUAACUGGUCUGAGAGGAUGAUCAGCCACACUGGAACUGAGACACGGUCCAGACUCCUACGGGAGGCAGCAGUGGGGAAUAUUGGACAAUGGGCGAAAGCCUGAUCCAGCCAUGCCGCGUGUGUGAAGAAGGUCUUCGGAUUGUAAAGCACUUUAAGUGGGGAAGAAGAGCAGUAAGUUAAUACCUCGCUGUUUUGACGUUACCCACAGAAUAAGCACCGGCUAACUUCGUG
RNAcentral lists this ribosomal RNA (484 nucleotides) under uncultured bacterium. Its description in RNAcentral is "partial 16S ribosomal RNA". It matches the Rfam family "Bacterial small subunit ribosomal RNA", at positions 30 to 507 of the family's 1533-position model. The record is from RNAcentral.